Molecule: long non-coding RNA, 2286 nt
Filed under: Homo sapiens (human)
Lineage: Eukaryota; Metazoa; Chordata; Mammalia; Primates; Hominidae
Description: non-protein coding lnc-HSPA12A-1:12
Source: RNAcentral
CAGGCUGGAGGUAGAAGGUGGAGUUGAGCAGCUCUUCCAGCCUGCGCGGAACGUCGUUCUCCCGGUAGUACUCCAUCGCCUGCUGCUUCAGCUUCUGCAGCUCCCUAGUGGUCCCACAGCUUUUUUUUUUUUUUUUUACGGUAGGCAUCUACGAAGUCCUUUGGAAUCAGUCACACUUGUGUUGAUUACUAAAGUGCAUCUCUUUCAAUGGGGUAUUUUUAAAUAAGCUGUAACUUUGGAUGGAUAUUACUGGAGGAAUGGAGCUGUGAUCCCUGUCAAACUGAGAAAAACAAGGGUAUGGGAAGACUCCUUUGGCUACUUAGUGCUUUGUGACUUUUGAGGAGACUUUGCAGCACGUAAUUCUAAGAAAAUUGUAGGAAACAGCAAAGAAGAGCCGGGGUCUUCGUGGGGGAGGGGAGCGAAGUCUGUGCUCAUGCAGCUUCAGUAAUGUCUGACUUGAUCCUAAACACUGCGGUUGAAAUGUUCCUUUAGAAUGAUCUUGUGCAUUCCACAAAGGCAUAAAAUAGUAAAAUCUGUUUCUUUCAGAUGGAGAGUGUUGGCGUGUACGGAUUCUGUGGGUGUAAAGCAAAGAACAAAAUGAAGUGUGAUUCAAGGUGGGAAAUAGCCGCUUCAGCUCCCCCAGGCUGCAGCAGCUACCACACAAAGAAGCAGUCCUAUGGCAAUGACAGGACAUCUGUGUCCAGGAUUUGGAUUUGACGAACUGGCAGUUCCUGCAGGGAUGACGGUACUCCCUAGUUGUGUCUGAAUUGGACGCACCAGCACUUGAGCACACACAAACGCACGUGAACAGACGGAACAUGUUAUGGGCCUGUUAGCCAAGGAAUGACAGAAUUAAUCCAUGGGCAUUUGCGGCCAGUGUUGUGUUAAACUAAAGGGAAAAAGUGAACUGGAAAAAGCAAUGUUUGUUUUAUGAAAAUCUCAGACCCAAUCCUUAGGUGACAGUUCUGGAAAUGAGGGGUGUCUAAAACAAAGGGCAUCUGAAACUUCGGUUUUUCAGCUUCCUUUCCUUGUCUCAUGACCUCUUUCCUACCCGCUGCCUCUGUUUUCUCUAAUAUGGAACAGUGAAAAUGGGGGCCAGCAAAACAGAUUGCUGAUGUCUGUUGAUUUUAUCAAAGGAAGGUUAGAUUGAGUAAGAUGGCAUAAAUAAGCACACAUAGGACAAUACCUGGCAUAUAUCAGGUGCUCAAUAGCAGUGAAUUCUCUCCCUGCUGUCAUGAAUUCUUGAAGGUUGGAGACCAUGCGCUGUUCUGCGUGCCAAGUUAUUUUUUCGGCCUGAUAGCAGGUGAGCUACUGAGUGAAGACAGAGACUGGACGCUAAUUCAGCUCUGAAUCUUCAGCACCUGGCAUGGAAGGUGCACAGGACAUAUUUGAAAAAGGAGAAUUAAUAGAAUUGACCAAUAGGCUGACCUCACCCAACACUGACAACGGCCUUAGCACAAACCCAAAAGGCUCUGCUAGAGCUCAGAGGCAGCCACGAGAUUGGGAGAGCUGGAUGACGGUUUGCUAAGAGAAUUCAAGCUGUCAGUCCUCCUGUGUAUCCUUUGGAUUCUGUUAUGCUGUUGCUUGUAGAGGGAAAAAGUUCAUGUGUCAUUUAUAUACAAGUGCCCAUUUGACAUUGAGUGAGUCACAUUUAUUUUACCCUAUAUGAACACAAAAUCUCUGUUUUAAAAUCAGAUUCUAGAACUUUAAAAGGGUUCUUAUGUAUUGUUCUGAAGUAACUCAGUGGCUCUUGGUGAGCCCGCCCCACCUGGCCGACCAGCUUGGACUUGUGACCUGUGCAGUCACACAAGGCCCUGCACGUGGUUUAAUGCUCCGCUGUCACCAUCUUGAAAUUCUUAAUACCUUGAACGAGGGGUCCUGUAUUUUUGUUUCAUGCUGGGCCCAGCAAAUUACAUAGGUGGUCCUCCCUUUGGGGUUCUGCAAGGCAACUAACUGUGAAGCAUGCAUCGAGUUACAGUUUUAAAUCUUAACAUGACUUCAUCUGUUAUGGCCUACCCAGGACAGUGCAGGAAGCUGGGUGCCCUUUAAGAAAGGAGUCUGGGCUGAAGGAGAUGGAGAGGUAGGAAGGGUUGGGGUCCUGAAUGCCAGCUUUGCCAGGGCCAUGCCUCGCAGCCAUGUCCUUCCUGCCUGUCUACCACAGGCCAGGAGGUGAACAGUCAUUCUGUAAUUCACAUGCAGUAAAGCUUUUUGAGAGUUCUGUUUUUCACCUGGAACUGCCAAGUCAUUUGGUGAAGAUUUCCUGCUUGUUUGAAGUCUGCAGAGAAA